RNAcentral lists this long non-coding RNA (2396 nucleotides) under Durio zibethinus. RNAcentral describes it as "long non-coding RNA (DZIB_LNC001754)". Lineage: Eukaryota; Viridiplantae; Streptophyta; Magnoliopsida; Malvales; Malvaceae. The record is from RNAcentral.
GCUUAUUUGCUCCACCACCAUGGGGUAAUGACCUGUCCUGCUGAAGAUCUCUCAUUUUACUCUAUGUACUGUGUUACUAACCACCAAGUCUUGCCUUCAUGAAUCAUGAUGUCUAAUACUUGCUUUCAGAUAUUAAGAAUAUGGGCAGGAAGCAUCAUUAUAUGAGUACAAUAGUAACUUAAUAGGUCAAUGAUGAUAGCUGAAGGGAUGAGAACAUUAUUGUUGCUAGCAUACUUUAGAUAGAUUUGUCUUGUUCACUGAAACCACAAGUAGCCAACCACAGUAGUUUCUUUUGCUUUAUUCCAGGUCUAUUAUAUUGAUAUGGACUUGUAAUUCAUUCACAGGUGAUGAUGUGCCACCAUCAGCAUUUUGCAUGGCUAAUGUGGGAGAAUGGGACAAAUUUAGGAAUAUAGACAUGGAUAAAGAGGUCAUUUUGCUUCCCUUAUUCAUGAAAGCUUUUUCAAUCUUUUAAAAAGUUUCUGUAAUUGAAGAAGAUAUCCUGAACCAAUUUUCAAUAUUGGGAAAUUAUCUCUAAAGGUAAGUUUAUAAAGAGAAAAUUGUAUUUCUUUGCAUGCCUCUGCUUUAUUUGCAGCAGUACUUAUGUAUCUCUUAAUGUCAUUUAUGUUGUAAGUUAAAUUUACUGUUUAUAAGCUAAUCUGGAUUUUAGUGUUGGAUUGGCAUGUCUGUGGCAACAUGCUUAUGCUAUUUGCCUCUUCCUCUGUGUUAGGCUAAUAUUAUUGGUGUCAUUAAUAAUUCAUCUACAAAGAAGAAAUUUCACGCCGAUGGUGAUAAGAUGGCUGUCUUGAAUGCAUGGCAAAGAAUUGAUUGUAGAACAAGGGAGGCUCUACGACGUAGCUUUCUUUCAGAGCUUAUUGCAGGCUAUGAGGUACAUGAUUUUGCUUUUGCUUCUGCCAGAAUGAUUAUUAUUAUAGGGGUCUUCACUCGACCUUUUGCUUUUGAUUUGCUUACAAUACUUUAGCUACCACCUCAUUUGCUUUUCCAACGUGCAAGGGAACUGGGGAGGACUGGGCUUGUUUAAUGUUAGCAUGUAUUAUAGAUCCCAGGUUGAUAUUUAUGCUAUAAUCAAAGGCCUAAGUUUUGGUUGAAAAGGCUUAGUGCGGUUAUUCCAGGCUCCAGAUGUGUCUCGUGAGAGUUGGGUUGUAUAUGCUUGAAAGGCUUUAAAGCAGAUUUUUGGUUGAAAAUUUUUUGCCCUUGACUACUAAAUAAGUAAACAACUAAUGUAUGAGAGGGAAAUAUAGUUUGACAUAAGACCAACCUGAGUUAGAAUAGUCUCCAGGCUUUGGCUUUGGUGAAAUUGUGAAAGGCUGAGCUGGCUCGAUAUCCAACUUUGUAUAUUUUUAUGUAUCUCCAUAACCUUGUUUAAGUACCUAAUUUUUUACUCUUAUGUGGAAUAAACUUCCUUUUCACUUUCAGGAUAGCAUACGGACAUUCAUAAAGGAAAGUGGGGAUGGAGAUGACCUCUCAUUACAGGUCCAAGAUCCUUUCCAUAGAUUGUUGCUGCAUGGUGUCUGUGAGGUAAUCCUUUGCAUCCAUUUUCUUUUUCUUUCAAAUGUAGAGGCUUCAUUAAACACUAGCUAAGCAAUUAGGCUUUGCAAAAUGCUGUCCAAACUUGAUGUUGGGCUAUUUCUAUUAAUAUGGAAAAUAUUGUUUAGAAAAGAGCUCUGCUAUUUGAUUCUUGUAUUAUCUGCUUUAGCAACUCCUUAUGAUGGUUAAACUUAAGUAUGCUCUAACCAGUGCAUUUUUAUUGAAGAUUUCUUGCGUGGUGGAAGUGUACUAACCCUUUCCUUGAACAGUUUUACAACUUGAUCUCAGUAACGGUUACGCAGACGAAGGAUGCAGAGUCACUGAAGGUAACAAGGAUAAAGAAAAAGAAGACAGGUGUAGUUGAUCUCCCAAAUAUCACAUUGUCCCAUUUCCUGAAAAUGUCAAAGGAGGGCAUUUGGUAGUUCUACUGCCAGGAGUUCUCAAUUCAUGUUCAUAAAUAAAGAAGUUGUGUACAAUGCUGCAUUCUAACUUAAUGUAUCUUGAUGAUGAAGUAAUAUUGGCAUUAGUCAUCACCUGUAAAUGUAAUUUUAGACCUAUAGCUUUGUAAAGCUGGGGUGGCUGAAUUCAUAAUUUCUUCCAGUCAACAUAACAUGUUGACUGCAGGUUUAGGGUUUAGUUAAGACAUGAUUCUUCAACAUUGUUGUACUUUGUAAUGGCUAAUAGGCAUGAUUCUUCAACAUUGUUGUUGUAUUGUUGUUGUACUUUAUAAUGGCUAAUAGACAUGAUGCUUCAACAUUGUUGUUGUUAGAGAUGUAAAUGAUACAUUAGUACUCGUAAGUUAUUCGGUUUUAAUUUAGAUAAAACUUGAAUUCGGUUUGGUUAUUAUUUAG